Molecule: ribosomal RNA, 421 nt
Filed under: uncultured bacterium
Lineage: Bacteria
Description: partial 16S ribosomal RNA
Rfam family: Bacterial small subunit ribosomal RNA
Source: RNAcentral
AAUCUUCCACAAUGGACGGAAGUCUGAUGGAGCAAUGCCGCGUGAGCGAAGAAGGUUUUCGGAUCGUAAAGCUCUGUUGUGAUGGAAGAACACGUACGGGAGUAACUGCCCGUACCUUGACGGUACCUCAUUAGAAAGCCACGGCUAACUACGUGCCAGCAGCCGCGGUAAUACGUAGGUGGCAAGCGUUGUCCGGAAUUAUUGGGCGUAAAGCGCGCGCAGGCGUUCUUUUAAGUCUGAUGUAAAAGCCCACGGCUAAACCGUGGAAGGUAAUUGAAAACUGAAGACUUUGAGUACAGAAAGGAAAGGCGAAAUUCAACGUGUAGCGUUGAAAUGCUUAGAGAUGUGGAGAACACCCGGUGGGAAAGGCGCUUUUUUGGUCUGAAACUACGGCUGAGGCGCGAAGGCGUGGGAGCAAACA